CAUGAAGCUGGAAUCGCUAGUAAUCGCGAAUCAGAAUGUCGCGGUGAAUACGUUCCCGGGUCUUGUACACACCGCCCGUCACACCAUGGGAGUCGGAUAUGCCCGAAGUCAGUGACCCAACCAUAUGGAGGGAGCUGCCGAAGGUGGAGCCGAUAACUGGGGUGAAGUCGUAACAAGGUAUC
This 182-nucleotide ribosomal RNA is filed under the name uncultured bacterium. RNAcentral's name for it is "partial 16S ribosomal RNA". It matches the Rfam family "Bacterial small subunit ribosomal RNA", at positions 1319 to 1500 of the family's 1533-position model. The record is from RNAcentral.